ACGGUGCGGAAGCCAUUGAUGCCCUGCUUCCAGGAAAAGCCUCUAAGCUUCAGAUUACAAGUCAUCGUACCCCAAACCGACACAGGUGGUCGGGUAGAGAAUACCAAGGCGCUUGAGAGAACUCGGGUGAAGGAACUAGGCAAAAUAGAACCGUAACUUCGGGAGAAGGUUCGCUCUUGAUGGUGAAGUCCCUUGCGGAUGGAGCUGUCGGGAGUCGCAGUGACCAGAUGGCUGGGACUGUUUAUCAAAAACACAGCACUCUGCAAACACGAAAGUGGACGUAUAGGGUGUGACACCUGCCCGGUGCCGGAAGGUUAAUUGAUGGGGUUAGCGCAAGCGAAGCUCUUGAUCGAA
Molecule: ribosomal RNA, 354 nt
Filed under: Aeromonas sp. Prich7-2
Lineage: Bacteria; Pseudomonadati; Pseudomonadota; Gammaproteobacteria; Aeromonadales; Aeromonadaceae
Description: partial 23S ribosomal RNA
Rfam family: Bacterial large subunit ribosomal RNA
Source: RNAcentral